CGUGGGUUGUGUGAGUUGCGUGGGUUUGCGUGGCUCGGUUGGUCGUGUGGGAGGUUGCAGUUGGUUUACAGCUUUAACCUUCCAAUCAGUUCUACUGAGUUUCUACGACUGUGUUAGAAGCGGCAACUAGCAGAGCGCAGUGUCAUGAGCACAUCUAGAACUACUUUAAAACAAACAGAGGCAGCAUCUUCAUAAUGGGCAUCAUAUUGUAACACAGCAACAACAAACUCUCCAACAUGUUCCCCUAAAACACCACGACUCUGGUGGGAAGCAGAAAACAUUUGGAAGGAGAUGAAUCCAGUCAACUGGACAGCUGAGAGGAGGAUCGCUGGAUCUUCUACUCAGUCUACCAACUAUAAACAGUUUUUCUGUGAUUUCUAAACCUUGGCCUCAGUUUCCCCACGAUGCAGGGUGUACAGAUGGUGAACAGCGCUCUGUGACGACGCCCAUGGGUGGGUGAGGAUCUGGAAGACGUGAAAGUCGUGGCCCAGAGUGUCGGCAGUCACCAGCAGC
Long non-coding RNA from Seriola aureovittata, 513 nucleotides. RefSeq lists it as uncharacterized. The record is from RefSeq and is a predicted model, not a curated record. The transcript is spliced from 3 exons. Lineage: Eukaryota; Metazoa; Chordata; Actinopteri; Carangiformes; Carangidae.